RNAcentral lists this transfer RNA (66 nucleotides) under Aphthona albertinae. RNAcentral describes it as "tRNA-Ser". The record is from RNAcentral. Lineage: Eukaryota; Metazoa; Arthropoda; Insecta; Coleoptera; Chrysomelidae.
GAAAUAACAGAUUAAAGAAUAAGCUUCUAACUUAACUCUUAAGCGUUGAAAUACGUUUUUAUUUCU